GUGCUGGAUGAUGUGUGUGAGUGCUGGAUGAUGGGUGUGUGUGAGUGCUGGAUGAUGGGUGUGUGUGUGCUGGAUGAUGGGUGUGUGUGAGUGCUGGAUGAUGUGUGUGUGUGUGCUGGAUGAUGGGUGUGUGUGUGCUGGAUGAUGGGUGUGUGAGUGCUGGAUGAUGUGUGUGUGUGAGUGCUGGAUGAUGUGUGUGUGAGUGCUGGAUGAUGGAUGUGUGAGUGCUGGAUGAUGUGUGUG
Non-coding RNA from Pelobates cultripes (western spadefoot toad), 243 nucleotides. The record is from the annotation of a GenBank genome assembly. Lineage: Eukaryota; Metazoa; Chordata; Amphibia; Anura; Pelobatidae.